Molecule: long non-coding RNA, 1070 nt
Organism: Zingiber officinale
Lineage: Eukaryota; Viridiplantae; Streptophyta; Magnoliopsida; Zingiberales; Zingiberaceae
Exons: 5
Source: RefSeq, a predicted model, not a curated record
ACAUCCCGUGCCCUAGCUCCCAAAGCCUCCGCCGACCUCUUCCUUCCUUGAUCCUAAACCUCUCACGAUGUUCUCUUCCUUCCUCUCCCUCAUGCACCGCCCUCUCCCGAUUCCUCAUUGUCGCGGACCAUCGAAUUCCGACGUCGAUGAGCUCUGAUCGCUGAUCGCCCAACACCGUUUGACGUUGUCUAAUCUCUCGGCCUGUCGCGGUGAUAGCUUCCAGCCCUCUCCGAUCUGCUGCUCACCCUUGAGCACCACUGCCUUUGCCGACGCUGUCGACUUGGAUUUGUGUUCGGGAUGAGCAACUCGACGUGGGACUACUUGACACGAUCUACGUGUAAAGAUGGUCGAGAGAGUCAUUAGCCAGGGCCGCACGCUCGGCCACUCGAGAGAGUGGUAGCUAGAGCAGAUGCCGCUUGUCUUGUCGUGUCGCACUCGGCCGCUCAUGGGUAGUGGUAGCUGGAGUUGCGAGCAGCAGGGACCCCCUUUACUUUAUUGCUAGUUAGCUACUCAGCACCUGUCCACUCGGUCACUCGAGAUUAAUGGUGGCCUUUGAGUGGUACAAUUGUCAUCGAUCUAGCCUCUCGACCAUACAGGGGUCGUGGUGCAAAGAGGUAGCAGGUAGAUAAAUCAUGGAUACUUGGGAGAGUUCUGGCUGACAAUCCAACGUCACAUCUGAAGACUGCAUCAGAUAAAGGAAAAGCUAAGAUAUGAAAGGGAGGCGAUAGGGUGGUGGUGGUGAUGAAGGUGUGUGAUGACUGGACAAUGGAGAGAUCCAGAGUUUGCUAGUAAAUCUUCAGGACCUAUCUGUUUAGAGUUUAUCUUUUAGUUCUCUUCUUAAAUACUAUUAUGAAAUUUUGUGAGAUUGUGAUUAAGUUUGAUUUGUAUUUGUAGCUUAUCAUGUCCUACUCUUGGAGUUAUGUUUAGUUCUUAUUGCUAGACUAGUUUUAGUUGAUUAUAGUGUGAUUUUGUUGUUAGCUAGAGCCCUAGAGCCAAUCAUUAGAUGAUUAUAUUUUGGACUUAUUGUAUCAUAUUCUAUAUAAAUAAAGGCAUUUGGAUUUUGGUUAUUA